Molecule: ribosomal RNA, 434 nt
Filed under: uncultured Ruminococcus sp.
Lineage: Bacteria; Bacillati; Bacillota; Clostridia; Eubacteriales; Oscillospiraceae
Description: partial 16S ribosomal RNA
Rfam family: Bacterial small subunit ribosomal RNA
Source: RNAcentral
ACGGGAGGCAGCAGUGGGGAAUAUUGCACAAUGGGCGCAAGCCUGAUGCAGCGAUGCCGCGUGAGUGAAGAAGGUUUUCGGAUCGUAAACCUCUGUCAUCAGGGACGAUAAUGACUGUACCCGAGAAGGAAGCUCCGGCUAACUACGUGCCAGCAGCCGCGGUAAUACGUAGGGAGCGAGCGUUAUCCGGAAUCACUGGGUGUAAAGGGAGUGUAGGCGGGACUGUAAGUCAGAUGUGAAAUAUGCCGGCUCAACUGGCAGACUGCAUUUGAAACUGCGGUUCUUGAGUGAAGUAGAGGCAAGCGGAAUUCCUAGUGUAGCGGUGAAAUGCGUAGAUAUUAGGAGGAACAUCAGUGGCGAAGGCGGCUUACUGGGCUUUAACUGACGCUGAGGCUCGAAAGCGUGGGGAGCAAACAGGAUUAGAUACCCUGGUA